CGGCGCUCGGCGGAAGGGGAGGUCGCGGGGCGUGCCGGCCGUUCGAACGGCGGCGCUUCGGAGAGCGUGCUCGUGCUGGCGGCACGCGGCGGGACGAGGCGCUGCUGAGCUCGGGAGCGCCCGUGGCUUUGCUGAGAAGGAUCUCCGCGUUAAAGCUUCUCGGCGUUUGUGCAGACUGGCCUCAGUUGCGCGCCACGCGUGCCCGAGCGACGGCGUGACCGAUUGUAAAAACGGGCUGAAGCAAACUUCAAAACCUUUUAAUGCCUUUUUCCCGAAAUAAGCGUUGCUUGCAACGUCUGCAAAGCUGGAGCGAACCGCGCGCCUCUCGCGCCGCGGUAAGCGCCGCCAUUACAGCCCUGCUGCCGGAGGAACGCGGGCACAGAAAUAGGACGAGGCAGGAGGGUACGGUACUGCCCGAUAACAAACUGUUAAAGCCUAAGAAAUGUCAGUUACCUCGCUUCGCUAUAAAAGUAACGCUCGAGCUGUGCUGCGGGGUAAACCACGGCUGCUGGGAGACCUACAGCAAACAGAAGUUGUGUGGCGGUGGAGCUGUGACGUGAAAGCAUGGCAGCGGUCUGCCUUCCAGUACCGAAGUUUCAAAAUAUAGCAAAAAAAACCCCAAAAAACCAACCACGAUCAAACUAUUGAAUUCAAAAUCUCUGAGGCUGGAGGACAAACGUUGAGGUGAAGCCAGGUAUACCAACAAAGUCACCAGCACGGCAGAAGCACAGCAAAUCCGUUCCUAAGGGAUAGGUAUGGAAUAGUUGCUUAAAAGGACAUAAAACAUUGCCGUUAUUUAUUUUUCAGAUGUUUACAUAAGCCAUGAGCCAAUCUGUUUUAAACGGAGAGGUCAAGAACUGUGAAGAUGUAGGUGUGUUUAAGGCCAUUGGAAAAGUGGGCCCUGCGAGUUAACUCGAAGGUAGUCUGCAUAAAGUUCACUCAAGAUGAGUUUUGCAUGGACAAGAGGAAGGAGGAGCUUUAUCUUUCAAGAUGUGACUCCGACAGUCUUAUUAAUGGAAUUCAGUAUCAAGCAGCUUCCUCGUGUUCCUUUGUACCUACAGCAGACUUGAGGUCCCCUGUAACCAUUCAUCAAUCCACGAGUCCCACGUGAUCCACCACGAGACACUCCCCGACUGUUGUAAUAAGGCUGACUGUUGCGUGGAAAUCCAGUAUUCUGCUGGGGAGGUUGCUGGUGGUUUCCUGCCACUUGAUGGGUCUGGUCCGGAGAACCAUGGUAAGUACCAACCACUGUCUGGAGCUGUUCUUGCUGAAGAUCUGAUUGUUCUACUUGGUGUGGCUGAUUGGAGAAACUCUGGUUGUAACUGGCCUGGUACUGAUUUUGUUGCUUAAGGGCUUCUGGCUCAUUAACAGGAGGAACAGGUGCAUUCAUGUUGAAUACUGUUUGCAUGGAUUGGAAUGGAGCUGCAUUAACAUUGAUUCCGCUGCUAUGCAAAGGUUUGCUAGAUCCAGCUUGGAAAACUUGCGGCUGGGAUGCAGUGGGAAGUGAUGAUGAUGACGGGGUCUGGUCUGCAUUCAGUGACAUUGAAGCCUGAAUCUGGUCAAUGGAUUCCUUCUGUGGCCGUUGCUCUGUGGUAUGAGAAGGCUGAUACAUGGGCUGGGAGGCUGUAUAUCCCUCACUUGUAGAUGAAACCAAGGGAACCUGCGUAGCUUCUGGUUGCACAGGAACUUGAUUAGGCUGGGCAAGUCUUGACUCAGUAUGAACUGGAGGGCAGACCAUUUGCGGCAUGUCCAAAUUCUGUGCUGGAUUCAUGGGCUGUGCAGAUACAAUGGCAGGAUCAAGUGUCUGGUUCUCAAACUCCAGCAUAGAGUCCUGCAUGAAGUUAUAUGGACCCUGCAUCUGGGCCAUAAGGUCCUGUACUCUCUGUCUUCUAACAAGAGGAUCUGCUUGAGCCACAGUAGUGAGUGUAUGAGGUUCAGGAACUGGAGGAGAUGUAGCUUGUGUUUGUUGCUGCAGUGAAUUUACAACCUCAACCGUUUCAACUGUCCACUCAUCUACCUGUUCCUUCUCACUACUGCUGAACUGAGUCUCUGCCAUGAAUUGUCUGUUUACAUACUCAGUCGAUUCAACUUCAGUAGGUUCAGUAAAUUCUUCUGCUGGAUCAGGCUCAGCUUCUGCUACAGUGUCUUCUACUGCAGGUGUGGGUGCUGCCUCUUCUUCCUCACAUAACCCGUUCUGAUGGUUAUGGGUGCUAUCAAAGUAACUAGUUUGAAGAAUACGUUCAACAACCUCCUUCAGGGCUUUAUAGGUUGUUCCACAAACGGGUUUUUCCUUCCCUUCCAGUAAGUCCCACAGGUGAACAGAUGCUUGCUCAUACUGCUCAUUCAACCUCAUGUUCAUGUCCCUUUCAGGGUAAACUAGCUUGUAAAAUUCAUCCAGCAUUGUCAGUUCCUCCUCUGUCAGUACCGGUACUCCAUUUGAUCCUUGUUUCAAGUCACUGCGCACUUCAUCGUCACCCAACUUGUCCAAAAUGAACUGCAGCUCUAGCACAGUCUUUAAACGCUUCUGCUCAGCCUCUUCUCUCAUCAGCUGCUCCCUGCGAGCCGUCUUUUUUAUUGUUUUCUGGAUAUCUUGGCUCAGUGCCAUAAAGCUCCUCUGCAGUUCUUUAGCGAAUUCCAGGUUAUUUGUCACUUCCUGGUAUUUUGACACUGCAUCCAGUUGAUCUUGAUUUAGACGUUCCCCCUUGUUCAUUCGUUCCUGGUAAUCGUCAAGUUUGCUCUUUUUCUUCUCGAGGUUGCGGAGCUUUUUGUCGAUCACUCCCAAGAUCUGCUUCAUGGCCUCGGUCUGAACCGAGGUGAUGCUGCCGCCCGACGCCUGCGGGGCCGCCGCUGCCGCCGCCGGGGCCUGCUCGUUGCCGCCCGGGCCCGCCUUCCCGCUGCUGCUCGCCAUGGUGCCGUUGGUAGCCGAGGGCAUCUCUGCGCGGGAGAGAGCGCGCGUGAGGAGAACAGGCCGCCGGAGGGGACACGCGGGAGGGCGGGCGCGCACUCGGUCGCUUCCCCACGCCCAGGACGGACGCGCGCCAGCCGCACCUGCCGGCUGGGCGCGCCCCCGUCCCACUGACUCGGCCCCGGGGGCGCGCGGGGCGGUCACGUGACGGGCAGCCCCGCGCCGGCGCUCGCCCAGCCAACGGUCAUUCCCCCAGCGCGGCCAUUUCCACCCCCUCCCUCCCCGCCCCGCCGGUGUCCGGAGGGCCUCGCCGCCCCCCUCACCGUGUGCGUGAGUGGCCCGGGGGAGGGGGGACUCGGUGCGCUGCGCUCUCGCUAGAGGAAUGACCGUCUCAGCCGACUCCGGCCCCGCGCCGCUCCUUCCACCUCCGCACAGCGCUACUAUGGGAGAGAGCGAGAGCGCGCACGCGAGCGCGUAAGGCAGGCGGCGCGGGAGCGAGCGGCGCGGGGUCCUCGCCGUCCGCGAGUGCCCGCGGAGAACGCCUGAGCCCGCCGCGCAGGCGGAGGAGGCGCCUUCCAGCCGCGCCGCUGCCCUUCGGCUCGGCUCUCUCGGGUCCUUCAGGCGCGCGCAGGGCGCCUCAGCGCCAGACACAAUAGCGGGGCGGGGCGACCGCGGCGUGGCUCCCGCCCGCCAUCAGCGGCCGUGGCGUCCUGCGGGGCUGGGCGGGGGUGUCGUACAGCGCGGGUUGAGCCCCGUGGAACAACGGGCGCCCGUUGGGGAACGUGCUGUGCCGGGCGCCCAGCGGCAGCGCGGCUCCGAACGCGCCCUUCGCCUGCCGGUGCCCAGGAGGCACGUCUCUGUCCGGUGCCUGGCGCGCCGCAUUGGGCCUCGCUCAGCGCCUUUCGGCCGCUAAAAGCGGUUGGCUCAUUCGUUUUUCAGACUGGGUUUCAUCUUUAAUCCUCCUCAAUUCCCCAGUGCGAUACGUGCCUUUAAUAAAUUUCUGUGACCAGAGCUAACAACUGCUUGCUGAACCUUCACUUCCGUGCCAACGGCUGAUGAUUACUUCAGUAUCGGUUUGAAGAAAGCACAGUGAGAUGCUGCCUUUCUGUGCCUCCCUAUUCAGACAGCACGAAAACAAUGCUGAGCAGGCUGGAAGCUGGAUGACGCUGAAAACACGUUUAUCCUGUGGUGAUUGUGGAGUUAAUGGCUGCAGGACUAGAAAUACAAGGCCCUAAUACUCAAUUUCCCUCAAUUCCACUUCUUAAAUGAAAUUUUCAGUUGCAAUUCCACUUCAGGACUUUGUUUAAUCCUGGAUGCCGUGGGUUGUUUUUCUUUUGUUUGUUUUUUAACAUCAGCACAAAUGAGAGCGGUUCCUUGAACAACUGUGCCAACCCCAUGGUUCUCCACAUCAGAAGGGAGAGAUCUCCUCGCCCUUCCCAUCCCUGCCUGACCCCUGUGCACAGUCACACAGCCCCAGUUCUGAUUCUGGCUGCCCAUGAGUUAAUGCAAGUUGGUAAUCAGCAGAAAACUGCUUUCUUAGACCUCAUGCUUUAGCAGUUAAUGCCUGGAUAGUCAGAUUUUUCUUCAUGGCAUCCGUAAAUACUGUUUUGUAGACCUUACAUGUAUGCAUGCAUUUAAAAUAGCAGUUCGAUGCUUUGCCAUUUUAUAAUAGCUAAUUUGCUUUCCAGAUCACUGCAUUUUGCAUAACAGGUUAUAAGACAAGUGUAAUAAAUCAACCAACCCCAUAUAUUUCACUUGAAUAAAUAUACGUGUCCUCAGAUAUUGAAAGUCAGUUUCUUUUCCCAACUCACUGAGAAGUUGUGGUUCAUACCACUGUUAAGAUUUGCUUUUUAUGCAGUAACAUAUUUCUGCAAGCCCCAUACCCAGCGGUUGAAAUCACUUUUCCUCACUCACAUUCUUCGUGAACACUGAGGCAUUUUGGCCAUUAAAUGUAACACCUGAAAACAUGGAGUUGUUUCAUCCAUUGCUACUUAUUUCUUCUUAUUACAUUGCCAUCCCAAUAAGCUGUGGCAGCUCAACAGCUGAGAAAAAUCAGCUGAAUCAGAGAGAGCUUAACUUAGUUUGUACUCAGAGGCUGUAUUUCUAACAAACACACAUCUGCAAGAAAAAUAAACAACAGAGUUGAUGGAAGAAUUGGCAACAAUAAGUUUAAAAGUAUCUGUUGGGUCAGAAUAAAGAUUUUGUCCACCAAUGUAAGAUAUUUAUUCUUAGUGGGGAAGCACAAGAAAAUAGCACAGUCUCACAAAAAGGCUAAAAAUACUGCUCCCGAGAGCAGUUAUU
This 5206-nucleotide long non-coding RNA is filed under the name Gallus gallus (chicken). Lineage: Eukaryota; Metazoa; Chordata; Aves; Galliformes; Phasianidae. The record is from RNAcentral.